CACGUAGUUAGCCGGUGCUUCUUCUGCUCCUACCGUCACAAAAGCUUCGUCAGAGCUGAAAGCGGUUUACAACCCGAAGGCCGUCAUCCCGCACGCGGCGUCGCUGCAUCAGGCUUUCGCCCAUUGUGCAAUAUUCCCCACUGCUGCCUCCCGUAGGAGUCUGGGCCGUGUCUCAGUCCCAGUGUGGCCGGUCACCCUCUCAGGCCGGCUACCCGUCGUCGCCUUGGUAGGCCAUUACCCCACCAACAAGCUGAUAGGCCGCGAGUCCAUCCACCACCGAUAAAUCUUUCCACCCCAACCCAUGCGGGCCAAGGUCAUAUCCAGUAUUAGCACCGGUUUCCCGGAGUUAUCCCAGAGUGGAGGGCAGGUUACUCACGUGUUACUCACCCGUUCGCCACUAAUCCACCCAGCAAGCUGGGCUUCAUCGUUCGACUUGCAUGUGUUAAGCACGCCGCCAGCGUUCGUCCUGAGCCAGGAUCAAACUCU
Molecule: ribosomal RNA, 486 nt
Filed under: uncultured Ornithinimicrobium sp.
Lineage: Bacteria; Bacillati; Actinomycetota; Actinomycetes; Micrococcales; Ornithinimicrobiaceae
Description: partial 16S ribosomal RNA
Source: RNAcentral